This 564-nucleotide ribosomal RNA is filed under the name uncultured Glomeromycotina. RNAcentral's name for it is "SSU rRNA". It matches the Rfam family "Eukaryotic small subunit ribosomal RNA", at positions 550 to 1125 of the family's 1831-position model. Lineage: Eukaryota; Fungi; Glomeromycota. The record is from RNAcentral.
UUGGAGGGCAAGUCUGGUGCCAGCAGCCGCGGUAAUUCCAGCUCCAAUAGCGUAUAUUAAAGUUGUUGCAGUUAAAAAGCUCGUAGUUGAACUUCGGGAUCAAUUAGUUGGUCAUGCCUUGGUAUGUACUGAUUUUAUUGGUUCUCACCUUCUAAAGAACUAUAAUGUCAUUUAUUUGAUGUUAUAGGGAAUUAGGACUGUUACCUUGAAAAAAUUAGAGUGUUUAAAGCAGGCUCACGCUUGAAUACAUUAGCAUGGAAUAAUGAAAUAGGACAUCGCAUUCUAUUUUGUUGGUUUCUAGGAUCGAUGUAAUGAUUAAUAGGGAUAGUUGGGGGCAUUAGUAUUCAAUUGUCAGAGGUGAAAUUCUUGGAUUUAUUGAAGACUAACUACUGCGAAAGCAUUUGCCAAGGAUGUUUUCAUUAAUCAAGAACGAAAGUUAGGGGAUCGAAGACGAUCAGAUACCGUCGUAGUCUUAACCAUAAACUAUGCCGACUAGGGAUCGGAUGAUGUUAAUUUUUUAAUGACUCAUUCGGCGCCUUACGGGARACCAAAGUGUUUGGGUUC